AUGUCGUGUUAUUCAGUUAAAAGUGAUGAUGAAGAAGAAUGCUUUUCUACAAGUGAUGUUGAAAUUAUGGAACCAGAAAUUAAAUCGAUGACGAAAUUGACCGGACAAAAAAGGAAAGAUGUGAAAAAUAGAAAAACGUUAAAAAAAAAAACCAAAAAAAAAUAUUUCUUAUCAAGAAAAAGUUACCCAAUUAAUACAAAAUGAAAAAAUUGCAAAAGAUGUUAUGAAUUCGAUUACAAUCAGACAAAGUGGAGGAGUUGUAACUAUUAA
Molecule: long non-coding RNA, 270 nt
Organism: Melanaphis sacchari
Lineage: Eukaryota; Metazoa; Arthropoda; Insecta; Hemiptera; Aphididae
Exons: 3
Source: RefSeq, a predicted model, not a curated record